UGUAUGGUUAAGUGACUAAGCGUACACGGUGGAUGCCUGGGCAGUCAGAGGCGAUGAAGGACGUACUAACUUGCGAUAAGCGCAGAUAAGGCAGUAAGAGCCGUUUGAGUCUGCGAUUUCCGAAUGGGGAAACCCAACUGCAUAAGCAGUUACUGUUAACUGAAUACAUAGGUUAACAGAGCAAACCGGGGGAACUGAAACAUCUAAGUACCCCGAGGAGAAGAAAUCAACCGAGAUUCCGGUAGUAGCGGCGAGCGAACCUGGAUUAGCCCUUAAGCACUCGGUGAAGUAGGUGAACAAGCUGGAAAGCUUGGCGAUACAGGGUGAUAGCCCCGUAACCGACGCUUCAUCGAGCGUGAAAUCGAGUAGGGCGGGACACGUGAUAUCCUGUCUGAAUAUGGGGGGACCAUCCUCCAAGGCUAAAUACUCCUGACUGACCGAUAGUGAACCAGUACCGUGAGGGAAAGGCGAAAAGAACCCCUGUGAGGGGAGUGAAAUAGAACCUGAAACCGUGUACGUACAAGCAGUAGGAGCACCUUCGUGGUGUGACUGCGUACCUUUUGUAUAAUGGGUCAGCGACUUAUAUUCAGUGGCAA
Molecule: ribosomal RNA, 596 nt
Filed under: Vibrio cholerae
Lineage: Bacteria; Pseudomonadati; Pseudomonadota; Gammaproteobacteria; Vibrionales; Vibrionaceae
Description: partial 23S ribosomal RNA
Rfam family: Bacterial large subunit ribosomal RNA
Source: RNAcentral